GAAAGACUCUCGGCAACGGAUAUCUCGGCUCUUGCAUCGAUGAAGAACGUAGCGAAAUGCGAUACUUGGUGUGAAUUGCAGAAUCCCGUGAACCAUCGAGUCUUUGAACGCAAGUUGCGCCCGAAGCCAUUAGGCUGAGGGCACGCCUGCCUGGGUGUUGCAC
This 163-nucleotide ribosomal RNA is filed under the name Genista tinctoria. Its description in RNAcentral is "5.8S ribosomal RNA". It matches the Rfam family "5.8S ribosomal RNA". Rfam says of the family: 5.8S ribosomal RNA (5.8S rRNA) is a component of the large subunit of the eukaryotic ribosome. It is transcribed by RNA polymerase I as part of the 45S precursor that also contains 18S and 28S rRNA. The record is from RNAcentral. Lineage: Eukaryota; Viridiplantae; Streptophyta; Magnoliopsida; Fabales; Fabaceae. RNAcentral also lists the same sequence under 1 other name.